Molecule: long non-coding RNA, 2115 nt
Organism: Xyrauchen texanus (razorback sucker)
Lineage: Eukaryota; Metazoa; Chordata; Actinopteri; Cypriniformes; Catostomidae
Exons: 5
Source: RefSeq, a predicted model, not a curated record
CUCACAUGCACUCUCACACACGCACACACACACACACACACACACACACACACACACACACACACACACACACUGUCACUCACAUACACACUCUCUCACUCACACACACACACACACACUCGAUCCGCGUGCGUUUGACACUUGUCGCGUGAGAUUGGAGCUCUGCGCAGCUUUAGAUUCACCUGAGCGGCGGAAUUGAACACACCUGAGCGGAUCUCACGCAUGUGAAUGUGCGGAGCGUGUGCGGGAUUAAUGCGCGCGACAGCAAACUGCGCGGGAGUCCUGCUCCUUGUGCUACAUUUGCAGUUUGGUCAAACCAAACCAAUCGAUUUCAUCUGUGAUGCGGAGGUGAGGAGAAGCAUGGAUGUUGCGGAGUCACUGGAGAAAGUCAUGACACACUGUCAAGACAAGCUACCAUCACCUGUCCUGUGUCCGUGCAUCAGGAUACACCGGAAAUCAUGGGAACAGACAUCAUUACACACACACACAUACUCUGGCAGUUCCAGCAGAAGCAGGCGAUCAUACGAGGCUUUUUGGACGUUCUUCUUCGAUCGAUGCGGAACGUGAAGGGAAGUGCGUCUGUUUCUUGUCAGAUCGGCAUACUGGAGAAGCUGGAGCACAGUGUGAAAAACCAUCUGCUGAUAGUGAACAAUCUAGAGCGACAGACUUCCACAUUCACUCCAGAUCGUGGCUGCAGGGCUCGUGAAACGGCCAGUUUAACGCAGACGGUGAAAUUCUACAGAAAGCUUCUUCGAGGUCCAGUGGAGCUUCUGGCAGACAGUCUCGCCAACACUUGCCCAGAACGCACAUGACCUACAUCCUUGACCUCUGUGACCUCAUCCACUUCCGACCUAUCUGCCUCAGAGGGUCAUGCUUGUUUUAACCUUUACGUGUAUUCAUUUACCAGCCGUUUUUAUCCACACUGACUUGCGAAAUGAGCAUUGAGACACAACAUCAUGAGACAUUCAAAAGUGAUUCAAUACAAAGUUCCAACUAAGCCCAGACUACCAGAUUACCCGCAGAGUUUUAUAUUUCUGAAGUCCUUGGAUUGAGUUCAAUCAUGACAUGGAGCAACUCUGGAUGUGGAGACUCCACCCUAACAGGAAUGUGUUGAGUGAUGUCAUGAAAACCACAUUUUCAAGAGGAAACCGAAAUGAUCAUUAAAUAUAAAUGUGCUUGGAAAGGACUCACGUUAUGUAACAUGUACAUACACAUCAUUUUAUAUGAUGCGGUAUAAGAGUAAUAUUGUAACAAUGCUAAUAAUAUUAAAUGCAAUGCAGUUGGUGUUUGUUCCCUGUAAAUAGUGUUUGACUAAUAUGUGUAUAAAACAUGCAAACUGUGUGUUUAAUGUGCAUUUUUCAUAGUGAGACAUAUAAUGUUUAUUAUACACUUUUGUCUGUAUUCAUAAUGUUUAUUAAAGAUGUUCACCCCUGUUCAAAAGGCCCAGGUAUCCUUAGAUGUUAUGGAUAAUUCUGACCAAUCAGAUUGCUUAGUGCUUAAUGUUACAUCCCAGGGCGUAUCUUUCUUUUAUUUCCUUGUUACAUCUGUGGAUGUAGAAGUUGCAUGUAUAUUGACUAUACAUUGUUUGUAUGUUUUCUGUUGUUUCCCUUGUGUUCCCUGUCAUCCCAACCAGGUUAAUUUACAUCAGCUGUAAGUAAUUAAGAUCGAGUGCUGAGCAGCUCUGAUUGGUGCACUACCAGAAGAACAUGGGAAUAAAGCUGAGGUGGAAAGUCUGCUAGGAGAGACUCUUUCCUCCUGCCCCAGCGUUGAUAGCCUUUGUGUUUUAAUGCUGUUGUUAAUUGGAAACUACAAUAUGAUAAACUUACUCCAAUUUAAACAUUGUAUUAUAAGUUCCUUUGUUGGGUGUGCGAUCUUUUCCACCCGUUGGUAUCCACGGAAGCGGGCGGUAGAGAGGUGGGCACCAUUUUCUUUGUUGUUAAACCUGUUUUCUGUUGUUUAUUGCUAGGUAGGGACUGAGGCCAGAUUUGUUGUUAUUUUCUAUUUCUUUGUCUGUAAGGGUAAGUAGUUUGUGCCUCCCUUUCAGCUAGACUCAUUUUGUUUGUUAUUUUGGCCUGGGCCUUGAAUACUUUCUGCUUCCCUUUUGUUUUGUAUUUA